RNAcentral lists this unclassified non-coding RNA (368 nucleotides) under soil metagenome. RNAcentral describes it as "partial contains 5.8S ribosomal RNA, internal transcribed spacer 2, and large subunit ribosomal RNA". The stretch from base 1 to 120 matches the Rfam family "5.8S ribosomal RNA", at positions 35 to 154 of the family's 154-position model. The record is from RNAcentral.
GAUGAAGAACGUAGCGAAAUGCGAUAAGUAAUGUGAAUUGCAGAAUUCAGUGAACCAUCGAAUCUUUGAACGCACAUUGCGCCCGGCAGUAAUCUGCCGGGCAUGCCUGUCCGAGCGUCAUUUCUGCCCUCGAGCCUGUCCAGCAUCUAGGUGCUGUUCGGGUUCGGCGUUGGGGCACUACGGGAAGCCUCGUGCUAUCCCCCGUAGGCCCCGAAUUGAAGUGGCGGUCCUGCCGCGGCUCCCCCUGCGUAGUAUUACAGCUCGCUUCGGGACCCGGUGGAGGCCUGCCGUCAAACCUUACUCUCUAAGUUUGACCUCGGAUCAGGUAGGGUUACCCGCUGAACUUAAGCAUAUCAAUAAGCGGAGGA